RNAcentral lists this ribosomal RNA (501 nucleotides) under uncultured bacterium. RNAcentral's name for it is "partial 16S ribosomal RNA". It matches the Rfam family "Bacterial small subunit ribosomal RNA", at positions 29 to 523 of the family's 1533-position model. The record is from RNAcentral.
AUUGAACGCCGGCGGCAUGCCUUACACAUGCAAGUCGAACGGCAGCACGGGUGCUUGCACCUGGUGGCGAGUGGCGAACGGGUGAGUAAUACAUCGGAACGUACCUUAUCGUGGGGGAUAACGCAGCGAAAGCUGUGCUAAUACCGCAUACGCCCUGAGGGGGAAAGCGGGGGAUCGAAAGACCUCGCGCGAUUAGAGCGGCCGAUGCCUGAUUAGCUUGUUGGUGGGGUAAAAGCCCACCAAGGCGACGAUCAGUAGCUGGUCUGAGAGGACGAUCAGCCACACUGGGACUGAGACACGGCCCAGACUCCUACGGGAGGCAGCAGUGGGGAAUUUUGGACAAUGGGGGCAACCCUGAUCCAGCAAUGCCGCGUGAGUGAAGAAGGCCUUCGGGUUGUAAAGCUCUUUUGUCAGGGAAGAAACACCGGCUCUAACACAGUCCGGGAAUGACGGUACCUGAAGAAUAAGCACCGGCUAACUACGUGCCAGCAGCCGCGGUAA